GGGGAAUUUUCCGCAAUGGGCGAAAGCCUGACGGAGCAAUACCGCGUGAGGGAGGAAGGCUCUUGGGUUGUAAACCUCUUUUCUCAAGGAAGAAUAAUGACGGUACCUGAGGAAUAAGCAUCGGCUAACUCCGUGCCAGCAGCCGCGGUAAUACGGAGGAUGCAAGCGUUAUCCGGAAUGAUUGGGCGUAAAGCGUCCGCAGGUGGCAAUGAAAGUCUGCUGUUAANNAGUCUGGCUCAACCAGAUAAGGGCAGUGGAAACUACAUUCGCUAGAGUGCGUUCGGGGUAGAGGGAAUUCCUGGUGUAGCGGUGAAAUGCGUAGAGAUCAGGAAGAACACCGGUGGCGAAGGCGCUCUACUAGGCCGCAACUGACACUGAGGGACGAAAGCUAGGGGAGCGAAUGGGAUUAGAUACCCCAGUAGUC
Molecule: ribosomal RNA, 424 nt
Filed under: uncultured cyanobacterium
Lineage: Bacteria; Bacillati; Cyanobacteriota
Description: bacterial SSU rRNA
Rfam family: Bacterial small subunit ribosomal RNA
Source: RNAcentral